UGCCCGCGAGGGAGCCCUAGCACAGGUGCUGCAUGGCCGUCGUCAGCUCGUGCCGUGAGGUGUUGGGUUAAGUCCCGCAACGAGCGCAACCCCGCCGUUAGUUGCCAGCGGUUCGGCCGGGCACUCUAACGGGACUGCCCGCGAAAGCGGGAGGAAGGAGGGGACGACGUCUGGUCAGCAUGGCCCUUACGGCCUGGGCGACACACGUGCUACAAUGCCCACUACAAAGCGAUGCCACCCGGCAACGGGGAGCUAAUCGCAAAAAGGUGGGCCCAGUUCGGAUUGGGGUCUGCAACCCGACCCCGUGAAGCCGGAAUCGCUAGUAAUCGCGGAUCAGCCAUGCCGCGGUGAAUACGUUCCCGGGCCUU
Molecule: ribosomal RNA, 368 nt
Filed under: uncultured Thermus sp.
Lineage: Bacteria; Thermotogati; Deinococcota; Deinococci; Thermales; Thermaceae
Description: bacterial SSU rRNA
Rfam family: Bacterial small subunit ribosomal RNA
Source: RNAcentral